UACGUAGGCAGCGAGCGUUGUUCGGAGUUACUGGGCGUAAAGGUGUGUAGGCGGUUUUCUAAGUUUGGUGUGAAAUCUCCCGGCUCAACCGGGAGGGUGCGCCGAAAACUGGAAGACUAGAGUGCGGGAUGGGAGAGUAGAAUUCCUGGUGUAGCGGUGAAAUGCGUAGAUAUCAAGAGGAACACCAGUGGCGAAGGCGAGUCCCUGGACAACACCUGACACUGAGGCACGAAAGCCGGGGGAGCAAACAGG
RNAcentral lists this ribosomal RNA (252 nucleotides) under uncultured bacterium. RNAcentral's name for it is "partial 16S ribosomal RNA". It matches the Rfam family "Bacterial small subunit ribosomal RNA", at positions 524 to 776 of the family's 1533-position model. The record is from RNAcentral.